AAAGCCCACGCUCUCCCCCGUGAGAGGGUUUUUGGAAUCUGGGACAUUUGUGUGCAAAAGAAGAAAGUGGAUUUCCCUGUGUAGCGGAGAAAUGCGUAGAUAUAUGGAAGAACACCUGUGGCAAAGGCGUACUUUCUGGUCUGUAACUGACUCUGAGGCGCGAAAGCGUGGGGAGCAAACAGGAUUAAAUACCCUGGUACUCCACGCCGUAAACGAUGAGUGCUUAGUGUUAGAGGGUUUCCCCCCUUUACUGCUGAAGUUAACGCAUUAAGCACUCCGCCUGGGGAGUACCGCCGCAAGGAUGAAACUCAAAGGAAUUGACGGGGGCCCGCACAAGCGGUGGAGCAUGUGGUUUAAUUCGAAGCACACGCGAACAAACCUACCCGGUCUUGACAUCCUCGGAGAACCCUAGAGAUAGGGCUUCUCCUUCGGGAGCAGAGAGACAGGUGGUGCAUGGUUGUCCUCAGCUCGUGUCGUGAGAUGUUGGGUUAAGUCCCGCAACGAGCGCAACCCUUGAUCUUAGUUGCCAUCAUUAAGUUGGGCACUCUAAGGUGACUGCCGGUGACAAACCGGAGGAAGGUGGGGAUGACGUCAAAUCAUCAUGCCCCCUUAUGACCUGGGCUACACACGUGCUACAAUGGA
Molecule: ribosomal RNA, 642 nt
Filed under: Bacillus cereus
Lineage: Bacteria; Bacillati; Bacillota; Bacilli; Caryophanales; Bacillaceae
Description: bacterial SSU rRNA
Rfam family: Bacterial small subunit ribosomal RNA
Source: RNAcentral